Molecule: long non-coding RNA, 1346 nt
Organism: Apodemus sylvaticus (European woodmouse)
Lineage: Eukaryota; Metazoa; Chordata; Mammalia; Rodentia; Muridae
Exons: 2
Source: RefSeq, a predicted model, not a curated record
CAAGGUGCCGCUCUGCCUGAGAGCCUUGAGAUAUGCCAAUGCCAGCUAAGGCGGGCAACAGAGCUUCAGACCGAACAGUGCCCUGCCCUAUCACUGGGGUCUUAGCCUUCGCUUCAGCCCCCUGGACAGCAGCCCUUCGGAUAUGAACCAUCUUGAUAGGACCUUGGAGACCCAGGUGUGGAAGGCUUCUUGCCUGUUCUCUGGCACUCUUGGAAGAUGGAGGAUCUCUAUGAGGAACCCUAAGGACCUGGUGCAGCGGGCGCUUGCUCCGUGUGGGGAAUGGGAACCAGAGUCCUACUCCAUCACCACAGCGACACCCACCGGACUACCUCUUGGGCCAUUCAUCAGCUUUUAAUUAAUAAUUUGGUGAGGGUGGUGCAGCAAGGAUGCUGGGCUGGACUGCUGUUGGUGUGAGUGGGCCAGGUGGGUGACCCUCUACCUUAUGGUGCUCCUCACCUUUGAUACCAGACCUUCGGCUGACAGGUGGCUUGGGGGUGUGUUCACCCUGGCACUGUCUCUGGGAGACACUUGACCCACCAUCUCACUACUAAGGAAAAGGCACCCAGAGGCAGAGUGACUUGGCCAGGCACACUCAGCAUUCAAGAACAGGGACCUGGGGCUGGAGCCCUGUGCAGAUGCCAUCCCCAGGUUACAGCUCCAGACCUAGCCCUUCAAGGACUUUUCUGAGGAGGCAGGGCAAUGUACUCCAGUGUGACAAGGCAGGAGCCUUGGGGUCUAAGAAGCAGGUGGGUACCAGAAGCCAGGAAACAGCAGUGGCUCUAUUGAGGGGUUGAGUAGGGGUCAAGGUUCCCCAGACUGACUGAGCUGCCUGGUAUGUAGGAACCAUGACGACAUAGGCCUCUCUCCUCAGGUUGGCCAUGGCCAGAUCACAGUAGGCCGCUCCAGCCCUGGCAGUCCGCCAUUCCUGGUUACCACAUGAGCAGGAAUGGGGAUAGCUGGAGUCCUGGGUGACACAGAGGCUGGUUUAGGUUGCCUGCCCCUGAAAACCACCCUCUGCCAGCUGCUGGACGGGGGUAGGGAUGCUGGGAAGGGGCACAGAAACUACAGAGAAAUAUGAAAAUCUAUUUGGAUCUGACUUGAAUUAUUAAGAGGUUCAAGAGUAUUCUUAGCUCUAGAGAGCUGUGGUCUGCUGAGAUGGACAUCACCGUGGCCCUAUUUUUAAGGUUCUGCGGGAAGGAGCUGAGACGCCACUGCACUUAGGGUCCCCUGUCCUUAAGCACUGGUGUCUGGAUGCCCCACCCCACUCCUGCCCACAUUCCAUGUUCUAUCCACCCUGUUCCUUCAAUUCGCAUCCCCCUGGCCCUUGCACCCUAUGAACCUACCCA